Long non-coding RNA from Canis lupus familiaris (dog), 1836 nucleotides. RefSeq lists it as uncharacterized. The record is from RefSeq and is a predicted model, not a curated record. The transcript is spliced from 3 exons. Lineage: Eukaryota; Metazoa; Chordata; Mammalia; Carnivora; Canidae.
GAGCAAUCUAGAAGCUGCUGAGCGCGGAGGGAGGAGGCAGCGCUGCCUGCGGCUGCACGCACCUGCUGCUGGGCGGCUCCAGGGUGGUCAGGGCCGCAGCCAGGGCUGGUCCAGCCGCUGUCAGUCCCGGGGAUUAGCGCGCUCCUGGGGGAGUUGGGCUGACCGCAGCGCUGGACCAAUUAGAGUCUCCAGACUUGCCUUGUUAGUAGUUUCUUCUAAUGGUUCAGCAGCAGUUUUGAUAUGAAUCCAGGAGAGAACUCAUCUGAGGAUAAUUGUGAAGAUUACCUGAGAUCCCAUAUGUGAAAGCCCCUUGUAUCUGCUAGAAUGUGAAUAAGGUGCUGGUUAGCUGGCCCUGACCACAUAGAUGAAGACAAUGAACUGAGCAACAAGAUAGAAGGAACCUGGGUCUCUGGACAACUUCAUGCAACCCAGCUGUCCUGGACCAUCCACCUACUUCUCAUGUUGCAUGAGAAAGAAACACACUUCUGUCUGGUUACAAAUUCUCUACUGGAGGAGUCUCUUACUACAUCAAUUUGCUCUACUCCCUAACUAAUACAACCACUUUACCUUCUCCGAAUUCAUCUUUACAACUUGCCUUGAGCAAAAACCAUCUGGAGCCAAGAUCUGAUCUACCUUUAGGAUAGAUAGAUCAGAUUUCAUAAUCGGCCACUUGUAAACCAGAUCCAGCCCACAGGCAUGCUUUGAUUUAUUCCUACGGUGGAUUUUUAAAAUUUUAGAUUUGUUGUCAACAUUUUGAGAAUUGAGAAGUUUCACCUAAAAAUCGAAAUGUUCAGCUUUUCUUGAGAAAUCAGAAGGUCUGGCAACCUUGGGCCACAUUCUUGCUUGGAAACAUUCGGCUGCUAGCCUGCUUCAGUUCAUCAUGGUCCAUGCCUGUCACACACAUUGUUGUACCCUUGGGUCUCGCUGAUUUGGGGCCCAAUGACCUGACUUCUAAGUCCCAGAACUUAUGUCUCUUUGCCUGAGGGCUUUCUCUGGUCCUCUGAAAACUGCCUAGCCAGAGGGGCUAGAGAGUGAAAGCACUACUACCUCCAAAAGACCCCAAACAACAACUGAUAGGAGUUGAUGUAUAAAUAUCCCAGUUUCCCAUUUUUAGAUGGGAUACCUGGAGGGCACCUUUCCCAGAGGUUGCGUCCCAGCUGUCCAGAGCGGGAACUCACUCCAUAAUGCCCCUUUUAUUGACUGGCUGCCUUCCCUUCUCUGUCCUGGUUCCCAGUUCCCUCCCAACAUGUCCCAGAGUCAUCUUCCAAAUAAACUACCUGCUCUCAAAUCCUACUCUCAGAACCUGCUUCUGGGGCAGCCUAAGUCACCAGCCCCUUUAGUCUUCCAUGUGAAAGUAAGCCUUUAUCACCAUGUACUGUCAUUUUUCUUCUGCUGAAGAAAUAUUUUUCUGUAUUUGAUUUUUAUUAAAAGUGAAAAGAAAAGAGAAAAAUCAUUCUGGAAGACAAUGUGUUUCAGAAAAAAAUAGGGGAGAGUCUGUCUUUGUGGGAGUAAAGGAUAUUCCUGCAUGUUUAACAUGCAAAUAUUGGCCUGCUUAGUUCACUGACAUUAUCUCCCUGACCCUCAGCCGUUCAUGUUUGUGAUCCCUGGUUUACAGCAUGAGAACUCUUGUUAAAAAUUCAGGAGUUAUUAGCCCCUGGCUUUGAAUGAGGCUCUGAGAUUAGCUAAGCAGCCACAGGGGAGCAUACUGAGGGAAGAGGCAGGGAGACACGUAAGUUGCAAGCGCCAAAGUUUGGAGGAAGGGCCAAGGCACUGGGACCAGGCAGGAGGGCUCACCAUGGCAUCAGGGUAGGGGGCCUGAGGAGAGCUGAAGCAUUU